This 71-nucleotide transfer RNA is filed under the name Patescibacteria group bacterium. RNAcentral describes it as "tRNA-Trp". It matches the Rfam family "tRNA". From Rfam's summary of the family: Transfer RNA (tRNA) molecules are approximately 80 nucleotides in length. Their secondary structure includes four short double-helical elements and three loops (D, anti-codon, and T loops). Further hydrogen bonds mediate the characteristic L-shaped molecular structure. tRNAs have two regions of fundamental functional importance: the anti-codon, which is responsible for specific mRNA codon recognition, and the 3' end, to which the tRNAs corresponding amino acid is attached (by aminoacyl-tRNA synthetases). tRNAs cope with the degeneracy of the genetic code in two manners: having more than one tRNA (with a specific anti-codon) for a particular amino acid; and 'wobble' base-pairing, i.e. permitting non-standard base-pairing at the 3rd anti-codon position. The record is from RNAcentral.
AGGGGUGUCGGUUAAUGGUAAACCAUUCGCCUCCAAAGCGAAAACUGCGGGUUCGAUUCCUGCCACCCCUG